GACGAACGCUGGCGGCGUACCUAAUACAUGCAAGUCGAACGCUUCCUUCCUCCCGAGUGCCUGUUCUGAAUUGGAAAGAGCAGUCGCGGACGGGUGAGUAACACGUGUGUAACUUACUCAUCAGUGGGGGAUAACACCUGGAAAUAGGUGCUAAUACCGCAUAACAGUUUAUGCCGCAUGGCAUCAGAGUGUACGGCGUUUUCGGGUGCCGUUGCUGGUUGGACACGUGGUGCAUUAGCUAGUUGGCGAGGUAACGGCUCACCAAGGCCACGAUGCAUAGCUGACCUGAGAGGGUGAUCGGCCACACUGGGACUGAGACACGGCCCAGACUCCUACGGGAGGCAGCAGUAGGGAAUAUUCGGCAAUGGACGAAAGUCUGACCGAGCAACGCCGCGUGAGUGAAGAAGGUUUUCGGAUCGUAAAACUCUUUUGUUAGAGAAGAACAGCGGCGUUAGUAACUGAACGUCCCCUGACGGUAUCUAACCAGAAAGCCACGGCUAACUACGUG
Molecule: ribosomal RNA, 508 nt
Filed under: uncultured bacterium
Lineage: Bacteria
Description: partial 16S ribosomal RNA
Rfam family: Bacterial small subunit ribosomal RNA
Source: RNAcentral